RNAcentral lists this ribosomal RNA (274 nucleotides) under uncultured bacterium. RNAcentral's name for it is "partial 16S ribosomal RNA". It matches the Rfam family "Bacterial small subunit ribosomal RNA", at positions 523 to 796 of the family's 1533-position model. The record is from RNAcentral.
AUACGGAGGGUGCAAGCGUUAAUCGGAAUUACUGGGCGUAAAGCGUGCGUAGGUGGCUUGUUAAGUCAGAUGUGAAAGCCCCGGGCUCAACCUGGGAACUGCAUUUGAAACUGGCAUACUAGAGUAUAGGAGAGGAAAGUGGAAUUUCAGGUGUAGCGGUGAAAUGCGUAGAUAUCUGAAGGAACAUCAAUGGCGAAGGCAGCUUUCUGGACUAAUACUGACACUGAGGUACGAAAGCGUGGGUAGCAAACAGGAUUAGAAACCCCGGUAGUCC